AUUCCGGCUCCAAUAGCGUAUAUUAAAGUUGUUGCAGUUAAAAAGCUCGUAGUUGAACUUCAGACCUGGCCGGGUGGUCUGCCUCACGGUAUGUACUGUCUGGCUGGGUCUUACCUCUUGGUGAGCCGGCAUGCCCUUUACUGGGUGUGUCGGGGAACCAGGACUUUUACCUUGAGAAAAUUAGAGUGUUCAAAGCAGGCCUAUGCCUGAAUACAUUAGCAUGGAAUAAUAAAAUAGGACGUGCGGUUCUAUUUUGUUGGUUUCUAGAGUCGCCGUAAUGAUUAAUAGGGAUAGUUGGGGGCAUUAGUAUUCAGUUGCUAGAGGUGAAAUUCUUGGAUUUACUGAAGACUAACUACUGCGAAAGCAUUUGCCAAGGAUGUUUUCAUUG
This 388-nucleotide ribosomal RNA is filed under the name Meripilus sp. RNAcentral's name for it is "partial small subunit ribosomal RNA". It matches the Rfam family "Eukaryotic small subunit ribosomal RNA", at positions 582 to 975 of the family's 1831-position model. The record is from RNAcentral. Lineage: Eukaryota; Fungi; Basidiomycota; Agaricomycetes; Polyporales; Meripilaceae.